GAUCAUGGCUCAGGAUGAACGCUGGCGGCGCGCCUAACACAUGCAAGUCGAACGGACGAUGAAAAGCUUGCUUUUCAAAGUUAGUAGGCGGACGGGUGAGUAACGCGUGGGUAACCUGCCUCAUACAGGGGAAUAGCAGCUGGGAAACGGCUGAUAAAACCGCAUAAGCGCACAGUGCCGCAUGGCACAGUGUGAAAAACUCCGGUGGUAAUGAGAUGGACCCGCGUCUGAUUAG
RNAcentral lists this ribosomal RNA (235 nucleotides) under uncultured bacterium. RNAcentral's name for it is "partial 16S ribosomal RNA". It matches the Rfam family "Bacterial small subunit ribosomal RNA", at positions 15 to 244 of the family's 1533-position model. The record is from RNAcentral.